Molecule: transfer RNA, 76 nt
Filed under: Herpetosiphon sp.
Lineage: Bacteria; Bacillati; Chloroflexota; Chloroflexia; Herpetosiphonales; Herpetosiphonaceae
Description: tRNA-Arg
Rfam family: tRNA
About the family: Transfer RNA (tRNA) molecules are approximately 80 nucleotides in length.
Source: RNAcentral
GCGGGCGUAGCUCAGUGGAUAGAGCAACGGCCUUCUAAGCCGUUGGUCGCGCGUUCGAGUCGCGCCGUCCGCGCCA